This 61-nucleotide transfer RNA is filed under the name Patella ferruginea. RNAcentral's name for it is "tRNA-Lys". The record is from RNAcentral. Lineage: Eukaryota; Metazoa; Mollusca; Gastropoda; Patellidae.
CUUUAGGUGGCCGAGAUUAGGCCCUGGACUUUUAAUCCAGACACGGUUUUUCAACCCCUAA